RNAcentral lists this ribosomal RNA (1121 nucleotides) under Libellula forensis (eight-spotted skimmer). Its description in RNAcentral is "partial 16S ribosomal RNA". Lineage: Eukaryota; Metazoa; Arthropoda; Insecta; Odonata; Libellulidae. The record is from RNAcentral.
AUAAUUAAAAUCUUACUUAUUUUAAUUACAUUAUUUAUGAGAAGAAUCUUUAUAUUUAGUAUGAUUAAAGAAAAAUUUUUUUUGUUAUAGUAUAUUAGUACUGUUAAGGAAUUGAUGAAAUAGAUUAAAAUUUAUUUUUUAAUAAGUAUGUUUAUUUUACAGUACCUUUUGUAUCAGGGUUGAUCAAUUAAUUUAAUUUAUAUUUAUAUCUCGAUUUCAGAAGAGCUAAAUUAUUAUUUUAGUUAAUGUGGAAUAAUUAUUAAUAAUAUAAUUUAGAGGAGAAAUUUUAUUCGGUUCUGAGGGUAUCUAGUUUUUUAAGAAAUAAAUUUAAUUUAGCUUCAGCACUUAAUUAUUAUAUUUUUUUAUAAUUUAUAAGCUGAAAUAAAAAUUAUAGGGGACAAGCUCUAUAUUUUUCUAUAAAAUUUUAUUUUAAUAUAUUUCUGUAGGGUUAAGAAUAUCCAUCAUUAAUAAGUAUGUUAUAAUUUAUAUUUAUUAUUAAUUAAUUUUGGGAUUUUUAGUAUUUUAUUAAAAUAUCAAAAUAAAUUAAGUAUUUUGAGAAAUAAUGAUUAAAUUAGUAUAAAAAUUUGUUUAUUAUAUUAUUAUUUUUAUGAUAAAAUAAGGAACUCGGCAAAUAUAGUUCUCGCCUGUUUAUCAAAAACAUGUCCUUUUGAAUUUAAUUGAAGGUCUGACCUGCCCAGUGAGGAGUUCAACGGCCGCGGUAUACUGACCGUGCAAAGGUAGCAUAAUCAUUAGUCUUUUAAUAGAGGGCUGGAAUGAAAGGUUCAACGAGGAACUGACUGUCUCAUUUUAUUUGUUUUAAAAUUUAAUUUUUUAGUUAAAAAGCUAAAAUUCUAUUGGAAGACGAGAAGACCCUAUAGAUCUUUACAUAACUUUAUUUAAAUAUUUAUAUAUUAAUAUUUUUAUAUUUUUUUGUGUUUUGUUGGGGUGACAAAAAUAUAUAUUUAACUUUUUUAUUUACAUAACAUUGAUUUAUGAAUAUUAGAUCCAUUAUUAUUGAUUAUUAGACUAAGUUACCUUAGGGAUAACAGCGUAAUCCUCCUCCAGAGUUCAUAUUUACAGGAUGGGCUUGCGACCUCGAUGUUGGAUUAAGAUAAUAAUUA